GACGCCGUAGCCGAGAGGUCUCAGGCGACGGUCUGCAAAACCGUUCCACGUGGGUUCGACUCCCACCGGCGUCU
RNAcentral lists this transfer RNA (74 nucleotides) under Actinomadura syzygii. Its description in RNAcentral is "tRNA-Cys". It matches the Rfam family "tRNA". Rfam says of the family: Transfer RNA (tRNA) molecules are approximately 80 nucleotides in length. Their secondary structure includes four short double-helical elements and three loops (D, anti-codon, and T loops). Further hydrogen bonds mediate the characteristic L-shaped molecular structure. tRNAs have two regions of fundamental functional importance: the anti-codon, which is responsible for specific mRNA codon recognition, and the 3' end, to which the tRNAs corresponding amino acid is attached (by aminoacyl-tRNA synthetases). tRNAs cope with the degeneracy of the genetic code in two manners: having more than one tRNA (with a specific anti-codon) for a particular amino acid; and 'wobble' base-pairing, i.e. permitting non-standard base-pairing at the 3rd anti-codon position. The record is from RNAcentral. Lineage: Bacteria; Bacillati; Actinomycetota; Actinomycetes; Streptosporangiales; Thermomonosporaceae.